Molecule: long non-coding RNA, 236 nt
Filed under: Lathyrus oleraceus (garden pea)
Lineage: Eukaryota; Viridiplantae; Streptophyta; Magnoliopsida; Fabales; Fabaceae
Description: Pisum sativum (pea) long non-coding RNA (PSAT_LNC007515)
Source: RNAcentral
GAAAAAAACAAGAACAAACAAAACAUGCAAUUCCCAAGGUUAUCAAGAUACUAGGUACAAGCAGAACUCUAAGUCUAAGCUUCAAGAAUAUGGUGUUAGUGAACAAGUUCUUGUGGCAUUCAAAGAAGAUAGGAAAACAGAUUACCAAAUAGUAUAUCCAAAAGCAGUAAGAUCCUCAUAGGAUAAAAUUCACUCAACUCUCAAGUGUUUAGGUUAAUUAUUUACACUUAAAGCAC